AUUGAACGCUGGCGGCAUGCCUUACACAUGCAAGUCGAACGGCAGCACGGGAGCAAUCCUGGUGGCGAGUGGCGAACGGGUGAGUAAUAUAUCGGAACGUGCCCAGUCGUGGGGAUAACGUAGCGAAAGCUACGCUAAUACCGCAUACGAUCUAUGGAUGAAAGCGGGGGAUCGCAAGACCUCGCGCGAUUGGAGCGGCCGAUAUCAGAUUAGGUAGUUGGUGAGGUAAAGGCUCACCAAGCCGACGAUCUGUAGCUGGUCUGAGAGGACGACCAGCCACACUGGGACUGAGACACGGCCCAGACUCCUACGGGAGGCAGCAGUGGGGAAUUUUGGACAAUGGGCGCAAGCCUCGAUCCAGCAAUGCCGCGUGCAGGAUGAAGGCC
This 386-nucleotide ribosomal RNA is filed under the name uncultured bacterium. RNAcentral describes it as "bacterial SSU rRNA". It matches the Rfam family "Bacterial small subunit ribosomal RNA", at positions 30 to 416 of the family's 1533-position model. The record is from RNAcentral.